This 196-nucleotide ribosomal RNA is filed under the name uncultured bacterium. Its description in RNAcentral is "partial 16S ribosomal RNA". It matches the Rfam family "Bacterial small subunit ribosomal RNA", at positions 1303 to 1500 of the family's 1533-position model. The record is from RNAcentral.
GGCUGCAACUCGCCUGCAUGAAGUCGGAAUUGCUAGUAAUCGCGGAUCAGCAUGCCGCGGUGAAUACGUUCCCGGGCCUUGUACACACCGCCCGUCACACCAUGGGAGUCGGUAACACCCGAAGCCGAUAGUCUAACGAAAGAGGACGUCGUCGAAGGUGGGAUUGAUGACUGGGGUGAAGUCGUAACAAGGUACC